GUGAAUCAUCGAAUCUUUGAACGCACCUUGCGCUCCUUGGUAUUCCGAGGAGCAUGCCUGUUUGAGUGUCAUGAAAUCUUCAACCUAUAAGCUUUUGUGGUUUGUAGGCUUGGACUUGGAGGCUUGUCGGCCUUGAUCGAUCGGCUCCUCUUAAAUGCAUUAGCUUGAUUCCUUGCGGAUCGGCUCUCGGUCGUGAUAAUAUCUACGCGCGACCGUGAAGCGUUUGGCCGAGCUUCUAACCGUCUUCACUUGAGAGACAACUUUAUGACCUCUGACCUUCAAAUCAGGUAGGACUACCCGCUGAACUUAAGCAUAUCAAUAAGCGGAGG
Molecule: ribosomal RNA, 329 nt
Filed under: uncultured fungus
Lineage: Eukaryota; Fungi
Description: eukaryotic LSU rRNA
Rfam family: 5.8S ribosomal RNA (bases 1-71)
Source: RNAcentral